Molecule: non-coding RNA, 7797 nt
Organism: Monodelphis domestica (gray short-tailed opossum)
Lineage: Eukaryota; Metazoa; Chordata; Mammalia; Didelphimorphia; Didelphidae
Source: RefSeq, a predicted model, not a curated record
GUUUCUAUAAUUUCUUCUUUAACUAAAUGGUUUUGGAGUAUCAUAUUGUUUAAUUUCCAAUUGGUUUUUGAUUUGGUUUUCCAUGUACCAUUACUAAUCAUUAUUUUUAUUGCCUUGUGAUCUGAGAAGGCUGCAUUCAUUAUUUCUGCUUUUCUGCAUUUGUGUGCUAUGUUUCUGUGACCUAAUGUAUGGUCAAUUUUUGUGAAUGUGCCAUGUGGUGCUGAGAAGAAGGUGUAUUCCUUUUUAUCCCUAUUUAUUUUUCUCCGUAUGUCUAUUAAUUCUAAUUUUUCUAAGAUUUCAUUCACUUCUUUUACUCUUUCUUAUUUAUUUUUUGAUUUGAUUUAUCUAAAUUUGAUAAUGGUUGGUUUAAGUCUCCCACUAGUAUGGUUUUAUUGUCUAUUUCUUCCUUCAAUUCUCCUCGUUUCUCCAUUAGAAAUUUGGGUGCUAUAUUAUUUGGUGCAUACAUGUUGAUUAAUGAUAUUUCCUCAUUGUCUAGAGUCCCUUUUAACAAAAUAUAAUUACCUUCCCUAUCCCUUUUGAUCAGGUCUAUUUUUGCUUUGACUUUUUCAGAUAUCAUGAUUACCACUCCUGCCUUCUUUCUAUCAGUUGAGGCCCAGAAGGUCUUACUCCAUCCUUUAAUUCUGACCUUGUGGGUGUCAACCCGCCUCAUGUGUGUUUCUUGAAGACAACAUAUGGUAGGGUUUUGGAUUCUAAUCCAUUCUGCUAUUCAUCUACGUUUUAUGGGUGAGUUCAUCCCAUUCAUGUUCAAAGUUAUGAUUGUCAUUUGUGGACUCCCUGGCAUUUUGAUAGCCUUCCCUAAUUCUAACCUUUUCUUCUUUGGCUCUACCUUUUAGUCCAGUGAUUUACUUUGAAUCAGUCCCCCUUGUCCCCUCCCUUGAUGUUUCCCUUUUUAUUCCCUCCCUUUUGGUUCCCUCCCCCUCCCCCCUCUCUUUCCCUCCCUUUUUGUUCUCCCUCUCCCCCUCCUCCCCUUGGUUUUCCCAUCUCCCUACCCUUGUUGGGUAAGAUAGAAUUCAAGAUCCCAAUGGAUCUGGAUGUUUUUCCCUCUCAGAGUUGAUUUCCCUGAGAUUGAGGUUUAAGUAAAAAAAAAACCCUCUCUUCCUCUCCUUCUUAUAGGAGUUUUCUUCCCCUCCCCUUCCCAUUUGAAUCUUUGUGUGAGACCGAUUAUUCUAUUUGGUCUUUCUUUACCCCCUAUUUAUACAUUACAUUUUCCCCACAUAUUAGUAUACAUAGAUUGAUAUAAAUGUAGUCCUUAUAGAAGAGUUUGAGUAAAAGAAGAAGAUAACAUUUUUCCCCUUUCCUUAAUAUUUACCUUUUCAGGUAUUCCUUGCUCUUUGAUUUUCGGUAUCAAACUUUCCACAGAGCUCUGGUCUUUUCUUUGCAAAAAGUUGGAAUUCUUCUAUUUUGUUGAAUGCCCAUACUUUCCCUUGGAAGUAUAUAGUCAGUUUUGCUGGGUAGCUGAUUCUUGGUUGGAGACCCAGCUCUCUUGCCUUUCUGAAGAUUAUGUUCCAUGCCAUACGAUCAUUCAGAGUAGAACUUGCAAGGUCUUGUGUGACCCUGAUUGGCAUUCCUUUAUAUCUAAAUUGUCUUUUUCUAGCUUCCUGUAGGAUUUUUUCUUUUGUUUGAUAGCUUUGGAAUUUGGCAAUUACAUUCCUGGGAGUUUUCUUUUGGGGGUUUAGUGUAGAAGGUGUUCUGUGAGCUCUGUCAGUGGCUGUAUUGCCCCCUUGUUCUAGAAUCUCUGGGCAAUUUUCUUUGAUUAUAUCUUGUAUCACCAUGUCCAGUUUGGUGUUUAUUUCUGGCUUUUCUGGGAGUCCAAUUAUUCUUAAACUAUCUCUUCUCCCUCUAUUUUCCAGAUCUGUCAUCUUGUCGGUGAGAUAUUUUAUGUUCUCUUCUAAUUUCUUGGUAUUUUGGCUUUGCUUUAUUAAUUCUUGCUCUUUUACACGAUCGUUGUCUUCCAGCUGCCUGAUUCUGGCGUUUAAAGCCUGGUUUUCCUUUUCAGUUUCAUUGUACCGGUUUUGUAGAUGCGUGAAUUUCUUUUGCAUUAUUUCCAACUUUUCCUCCCAGAUGCUUCCAUCUUUUUGGUCAUUUCUGAUUCAAAUUCUUCAUGGGUUUGUGGUGAGUUUCCAUUUCCUUUGGAAGAUUUUGGGGCAUUUUCUUGUAUAUCUUCUAUCUCCUCUGUAUUUUGUAUUUUGCCUCCAUAGAAUGUGUCCAAAGUCGCCCCUUUCUUCUUAUUUUUCUUGGUAUUUUGGGGCUUCUGUGCUUCUGUGGAGUUUGCCAUCUCUGAAUGUGGAGGAUUAGUUUUUCUUAUCUCUAUCUGGUGUUAAGAGGCUUUAGUCCUGGGCAGAUUGUCGGUUCUAUGAGCUUUCCCUGGGUUAAACUGAAUAUGCCUCACUGGAACUGGAAUGGAAGUGUCUGACCAGGAGGCCACACUCUCCCCCGGGCUCUCUGGGUCUGGUUGCUUUCCGGAAGUUGUCUUCAGAAUAGCUGGCCAUGAGGCUGUUUCGUUGGCCUGCGGGGGGAUGGGCUGCGGCUUCCUGGAGCUCCAAGGGCAGGGACUUUCACUGAGACUUGGAUAGCAGGAUCCAGCCCGUGAGGCUGUCUUGCCAGCCCUGAGGGUUAAUGUUGUUUCGACCCUGCUCUCUUCCGGGGGAGCUCCGAGGGCAGUGACUUUCACUGGGACUCGUAUAGAAGGCCCUGAGAGUUGUUGUUCCAACGACCCUGCUCUCUGAGCGGGGCGGGGCUGCGGCUUCCUGGAGCCUUGGACUCUGCGCUCCUACCCCUUAGGUCCGAGUGAUCUCGGGUUCUGGCUUUUGAUUGGGGCCAUACCUUCUGAUCUGGGUCCAGGUCCAGGAGGAGGGUUCCCAGGGUCUAUGCUGUUGAAUGUCUUGAAUAUCGGCGCCUUUGGAGCUUAUAGUUUGAGAUCGGUCGGGAAGGGUUUUCCGGAGAUCUGAACUUUAGCUUUCUCCACGCUGCCAUCUUGACCGGAAGUCCAGUUCAAUUCUAAUUUUAAGGAGUUUUCUUCCUUGAGUUCUUGGGUUUCCUUUUCUACUUGGCUGUCUUUUCUUUAAGGGGUUGUUUUCUUCAUGUUUUGUUUUUUUGGUUUUGUUUGUUUUGGUUUUGGGGUUUUUUUUUUUGCCUCUAUUCCCAUUUUGUGGAUUCAAUUAAUUAGGAAGUUUUUUUCUUCAAUGAUUUUUCCCCCCAGCUGUUGAGUUUUUCAAUUAGUUCCCUUAUAUUUUUAAACUUCUUCCUGGGAUUCUUUUUAAGAUCUAAACUCCUUGCCCACUUUCUUUUGAGGCUUCACAUGUCUCCUUUAUGGCAUUUUUGUCCUCUUCUGAGUCCAUAUAUUGAUCUUCCUUGUCACUAAAGUUCCUUUCCCAGGUCAGUUUUUUCUUUUUUUUACUUGUUUUUCCAUUUUUUCUUUCCUUUGUAACCAUAUUUAUCUUUUGAGAUCCUUCUCUGUUCCUGGAGUAAAAGGGUAUAUUGUUCUAAGAUUACAGAGUACUCUUCUCUGGUAUUUGGUGUAGGACUAGCUGCCCUUGUUCCUCGUGGUUUGUCUGUCACGGAGACAGCAGUACUGGCAUGUUCUGGGGAGGUUGGCAACUGUUUCAUCCAAGUAUAUUUAGCAUAAUGAGUUACCAGUUCUCCCAUUGUUUUGUGGGUUAAUCUGGUCCCCACUAUGCUGCUUCACUGCCCCUACCAAGUAGCCUGGGUGGAGAAGGCUCCCUGCUUUGAUUUCUACUGCCCCAGGCUUUCCCCCACCACAUAGAAGUAAGCAAAUUACUUCACUGUAGUUCUAGUUCCCCCUUCUUGCAUCCCUGUAACCUCAAGAUUCUUUUGCUAUUUGGGAGUGGAUAGUUCAUUGUUAAUUCUAGUUCCAUCUUUACUCCUUUGGAGUCCCAAGGCUCUGAUGUCACAUGAGUGUUUGAAGGUUCCUUACCUUCUCUACCUGUAUAGAGUGACUCCAGCUGGGUUCCAAGAUCUGCCAGUACUAUCAGAUUGCUCUCUUCUCUUACCUACAGUGAGAUGUUCCUCAAACUUUUCUUUGUUUUGAGGCAAUUUGUUUUCUUUUGUUUUUGCAUUGAGGAAAUGGAGUGCCUUUUCUUCCUACAUCUUAUCUUUCAGCAUGCAACUUUUGUCUUCAUGCAAAAUCUGAAUAAAAGUGAAGAGGGCAGUUCUAAAGAGAGGAAGCUGCUGAGGUAUCUAUACACAUAAAUGUACAUAUACACAUAUGUACCCAUAUAUACAUCCAUAUAUAGAUAUACAUAUCUAUAUGUCUGUACAUAUAUGCAUGUGUGAGCAUAGAAUGGCUUCCACAUUUUAAAGAUUUUUUUCAUAGAGAUUGAAAAUGUUUUUUUUACCAAGAACUCCUUGACAGCAGAGAUUGACUUUUUUGUCUUUUUCUGUAUCCUUGGUGCUGUACCUGGAACACUUGAGGCACUUACUAAUGAUUGUUGACUUAUUCAAAACCUAGGAUUUGUUUUUUUAAGAAAUAUUAUCUAUAAAAAGAAGAAUGUGCAUUUUUGAAAGACUUUCAAGUUUUUGAACUAUAACACUCAAGGAUGAGAUAGAACACUUUAUUAUCCCUAUUACUACAAGAGGAAACUAAGAAUCACAGCUGAUGAUUACCUUUGGCUUAUAUGUUUCUGUGCCAAGAAUAAUCCCAUGUGUCUUACCACAAAGUUUAUACUCUGCCUGAUUAUAAGUAAAUUUUCUAGGAAAAAGAAACAUAUAGACAUACACACACACACACAGACAAAACACAAAUACACAUACAAAUGGUAUCUAGGCUGCUGCACGAACUGAAGCUAGUGAGGGGGAAAAAGAUUGCAAAAACAGAAAAUUACUCAUGAAUUUAUAAAUUACUUAUAGUUAAGAUCAACGCUGCCAUACUCUUAAGAGAUGUGCAUUAUACAAUGUAACAUGUAUCUGAUUUCUUUUAAUGUAAAAUACUCUCUGUAAGGCAUAUUAUCUUGUUUUAUCUUCAUGACAACUCUGUGGUGGAGGUUACAUAAAUAAUACUUUCCAGAUUUUACAGAAAACAAAAGAAAGGAAGAUUCUGGGAAAAAGACACUACUUGUUCAAGUACACCCAGCUAGUAAAUGGACAAGCCAAGAUUCUGUGGGAAGAAUGCAUUGUCACUUUAAAGAUAUAUUACAGAAUCCAAAUUGUAAGAAGGAAUGGAAUACAUUCUCUCCCUAGUUAAUCUGUGUCACCCUAAGAUUUUAUUAAGAGUGGGACUCACUCUAAUUCCCUACUUAAACUGAAUGUGUAAACUCUAGCUUGAGUCUCUAGCUGCCUUUCUAAUGAGACUCACCAUCACCUUUGUCAGAGUUAUGCAGAAAGUGAGGCAGGUCAAGAUUCUUUUGAGAAAAAUGAGGUGGGGGGAGGAUUCAGUCUAUUUCGCCUUCUGCAGAUUUGACUAUACCAUUUACUAGCUGUUUGGAACUUUGAACAACUUACUUAACUACUCAUGUUCUUUAAAUCUCAUAUGAAAAGUGGUACUGUGAGAACACCAAUCUGACCUUUUGGUGUACAUAGUUUCAAAGGAGAAAUGCUUGGAAAAAAUAUUGGACAAAUUAAAUAAAGAAGUAUUAUAUAUACAUUUACAUAUACAUAUACAUAUAUACAUAUUCUGAAAAGAAUGAGUUCCACAUACCAACCAGUGAAGUUUUUUAAAGAAUACAGUUCUUUCAGAACAAAAAUGACACAAUAGAGAAAAGAGAAAUGGAUCCUAUUUUGACUCUGGCAAAGGUACAGGUAAAUUUAGAAGAAAGAAUGCCCAGGUGCCAAGAAAAGGAAAAGAUCAUGAAAAAGUGGUUGUAAUGGAACAGAGAGUAUAUUAUAGAACAGAGAUGAUGUUAUAAGCAUCAGUGUUUGAUAUUAAUAAACAUUCUAAUCACUGACAUAGAUAAAAAAUAGAUUCCAUAUGAAAUUUGCAAAUAACUUGUUUUAGCUAUAAUUUUCCCAAACCUAGUACAAUGGAAAAAUAUAUUUUUGAAUGUUUUAAAUGAAUAUUAUUUUAGAUAUAUCUGUAUCUAUCUCUUUCGAUCUAUAUGACUGUCCAUCUAAAUUUAACUGUUGGCAAAUAAGUUAGAGAUGGCUUCCUUUCUUAGCUAUAGAUGUUAGACAACCUAUAUAGAUGUUAGACAACCUAUCUAUAUAGAAGGUUCAUUAGAAAUCACUUUCUUGGGUGUCAUCAUUUACCUGAAUUUGUCUGGUAUUGUGAAUAUGACAACUUUUGGAGCAUCAUUGCCAUUGCUAACAGUAGGCAAUCUGGUUCAGCCUUUUGAGUCUGGGGUGAAUGAGUCACAGUGGGAAAGUGGAUGAUGCACUUCAGGGGCUGUUAUUUUUUUGGCUGCUGAGUACCAUUAUUAUGGUGAUAUGUUCAGUUGGUGUUCAGGGAGGGUUAGGACCUCUACUGUGAGAGCUUGCUGAAUGCUUUUCAGGGCUGCUUAUCCCCGUUUGGUGUCUACCUCUUUCCCAGCUCUUACCUGUGGCUCCAAGCUAUAGUUUUCAGCAGCAGCCUGUUAAAACUGUCCAGGCAGAUGGGUUGAGCUUGGGUUUAUGUCUAACUCUAGGCUUGUGAAGACCUCUCCUGCGAGAACAGAUGGAUGAGGCAAUUUGUUUCAGUAGCCAUGAAGGUGGCUGAAGCAAACACUUUCGAGUGCUUAAAACUUGGAUGGCUAUUAGAGACACUGACAUCAUUCAGGUGCAUUUUCAGUCAUCCUGACUUUUGUCUUGCCACAGGAUUUAGAUGACUCUGGAAGAAAGAGUGAGGCUGACAACUCUGGGCAACUCACUUAAAUCCAAUUCACAUAUAAGUUAAGAUAUUACCCUGUGAUGUCACUGGUAUUCUUUGAAAUGAAGGAUCACCACCACCACCACCAAUUGAUGGAACAUAUUUUUCAUUGACUGAAUCAUCCUUUUAUCUUCUUAAAUCUAGCUUUGUUUUAAACUGCCCUUGCAGCUGGCUAAUAUUUUCUUGUAGAUUCCAGAUGAUCAAUUUAUGAGGAAGCUCAAAAAUUAUCUAUUUAAUCCACUCAUUUUGUAGGUGAGGAAAAUGAAGCCCAGAGAAUACAUAUAGAUGACUAGCUCCCCUGCUAAGACUUCAAGUGUCUUGCCUCUAAAUCCAAUGCUCUAUGUUCUUACCUCUGCAUGAUAAUAUAGAGGGUCAUUAGCAACAGGAAGCAAUUAAAGGUUGCUGUUGCCUCUGGUUAAACCUAGGAAGAAACUUAUACUGUUCUACUCAUUGAAUUAUUCAUAUUCUUAGAUAUCACAAUUAAAAAAGAACAAGUAGAAGAAUUAGUAGAAGAGGAGAUCAGCAGUGGCAAACCUGCAAUGGGAAAAGCUCUAAUGCAGUUUUCCUGGUUUUGCAAUGUCCAAGGGUACAAUUGGAGGAACUUCUUUUGUUUUAAAAAACAUGAUAAACAAGUAAAGAAUGUGCGCAAGCAGGAAGAAACUGACCUAAAGCUGCUGGUGUCUGACUGGACAGAAACUCAAGUUGGCCAUUGGUUAAAGAGUAUUGGAAUGAAAAAAUAUAUCCUGAAAUUUGAUUAUAAAAGAAUAAGAGGUCAAGAACUUCUUGAAUUAGACAAUGAUGCAUUAAAAUGCAUUGGAAUCACUAAGAAGAGAGAUCGCAAGAAAAUCCUUAAGGGAAUUAAGAAAAUUCAACAGACAGAAAAAAAUUAAUACAAUCUAACAAUUAAAUAUAUCAAAAAGAUAAUUCUGGAAGAUACAGCAAAAAUGAGAAAAAUAUAAUUACAUGAUAUUUACCUUUAA